GUCCACGCGGUAAACGAUGGGCACUAGGUGUGGGGGGUAUCCACUCCUCCCGUGCCGAAGCUAACGCAUUAAGUGCCCCGCCUGGGGAGUACGGCCGCAAGGUUAAAACUCAAAGGAAUUGACGGGGGCCCGCACAAGCGGUGGAGCAUGUGGUUUAAUUCGACGCAACGCGAAGAACCUUACCUGGGCUUGACAUCCCUGGAACUCCCUGGAAACAGGGAGGUGCCCUCGAAAGAGGGAGCCAGGAGACAGGUGCUGCAUGGCUGUCGU
RNAcentral lists this ribosomal RNA (270 nucleotides) under uncultured bacterium. RNAcentral describes it as "partial 16S ribosomal RNA". It matches the Rfam family "Bacterial small subunit ribosomal RNA", at positions 793 to 1055 of the family's 1533-position model. The record is from RNAcentral.